UAAUCGUUAUCGCUGAACCCGAAAAGGGGCGGGGGACCCACACUUUUGGGGCGAAUCUCUUCCUACGGGAAGAGUAGGGUUACUCCUUCGACCCGAGCCCGUCAGCUAACCUCGCAAGCGUGGGAAGGAGAAAUA
Molecule: small RNA, 135 nt
Filed under: Caldanaerobacter subterraneus subsp. tengcongensis
Lineage: Bacteria; Bacillati; Bacillota; Clostridia; Thermoanaerobacterales; Thermoanaerobacteraceae
Also listed under: 1 other name
Description: Thermoanaerobacter tengcongensis c-di-AMP sequence
Rfam family: c-di-AMP riboswitch aptamer (ydaO/yuaA leader)
About the family: This family represents a conserved RNA structure found upstream of the ydaO and yuaA genes in Bacillus subtilis and related genes in other bacteria. The ydaO/yuaA element is thought to act as a genetic "off" switch for the ydaO and yuaA genes in its native state.
Source: RNAcentral